This 1551-nucleotide long non-coding RNA is filed under the name Capsella grandiflora. RNAcentral describes it as "long non-coding RNA (CGRA_LNC001602)". The stretch from base 159 to 245 matches the Rfam family "mir-160 microRNA precursor family". The record is from RNAcentral. Lineage: Eukaryota; Viridiplantae; Streptophyta; Magnoliopsida; Brassicales; Brassicaceae.
AAAUUCCUCUUCAACCAUAAAUCUCUCUGACUACUUCAUUUUCUCUCCUCAACAGUAAUACACAAAGUUUCUUAUUGGAUUCAAGCCAAGAUCAACGUAUCAAGAUGUUCAUCUUCCAUGUGUAGAGGUUUCAUAUAUAUGUAUUUAUUAGUUUGUCGUUAUGCCUGGCUCCCUGUAUGCCACGAGUGGAUACCGAUUUUGGUUUAAAAAUCGGCUGCCGGUGGCGUACAAGGAGCCAAGCAUGACCAGAAGCAUAUGAUAACUCAUUUGCAUCAACAACUAUAUAUGGUUUGUGUUAUAGUAGAUGAUGUCUUAUUCAAUAUUCAUCUUUGGUGUUUAUAACUUUGUGUUUUUGAUCAGUAAACAGAAAUAAAACCAUAGUUUUGUGAUUGUCUGUUUGAUAUGUACUACGAUACUUUUGUUUGGAUUCGGUUUUAGUCAUAUGAAUAGUCGUGAGUUUUUUUAAAAGAAUGGUUUCGUUUUCUCCCGGUUUGGUCAAGUAACUUGUUUCAAGUUUCAUAAGUAUAGAAUUUGAUUAGGGCUACAAUAAUCUAAAUUGAUUCGUUUAAAGUUACAGUGAUUUGGUUUGUCCAAAUAUAUACUCGAGUCAUUUCGUUUGUUUUUAUUUUAGUCUUGGUGUAAUCAUUUCGUCUAUGUUAUGUAGCUUUACUGUAAAGUUCUUCUAUGUUUGAAUUUUUGUCUACUUUUUUUAUAUGAAUAUUUUGGGAUGCACCGAACUUGAAUCAUUUCAUUUGAAUUAUCAUUGGCGGACAAAGUUGAAGUCUUAGGAGAAGAAACAUGUUUGAGAGUGUUCUUUUGUUUUCGGUGGCAAACAGUAAACGUAACAAUCAAUCAGAUUAAUUCUGAAGAAAAAACUCAGAAUUUAGGCGUUAAUUAAGUCUUUAAAAGUUGAAUCAAUCACGGAACACUAUAAAUUGACGGUGAACCAUUUAACAUGGUUAUUUUAAAACCACUUCCAUAUAUAUAAUUAACUAGUGUUUGAUAAAAAUAAGUUAAAGGGGGAAAUUGGGAUCUAUACAAGGGAAGUAUCUAGUAUAUAGUUUUAUGUUAUGUCUUUCUAAGUUGUGUAUUAACCAAAAUUUUCUUUGUUAGGAUAAGAAUGCUUUGUUUUUCAAACAUUUACCAUAUUUAAGUAGUAGGAAUUGACUUUGCUAAACAGGUAGAUAUGUAAACAUUUUACUUGUAACGUGCGACUCGAUUUCUAAUUUUGUUCGGAUUUUUCAGAUAGUCGGAGGCUCUUACGAGUACGGAUUGUGACCUACCCGCGAUUGCAAGUACAAGUAGAAACAGAAAACAAUAACGGACAUUUAGAAAAUUUUGAAUUCAAGAAUUUGUACCCAAUCUCAAAAUAUACAUUCUAUUUAUUUUUAUAUAGAUUAAUAUGAUACAUAUAAAUAAUUAUAUUUUUCUUUUUCAUGAUAUUAUUCAUUAAUCCUUGCAAAUUUGAUCACUGUGAUUAAAGCUAAUUUUCUAUACUUCAUGUUUUUUUCUUAACAAAUCUAUAUUUCAUGUUUAUAACUUAUAAAACAG